This 253-nucleotide ribosomal RNA is filed under the name uncultured prokaryote. Its description in RNAcentral is "partial 16S ribosomal RNA". It matches the Rfam family "Bacterial small subunit ribosomal RNA", at positions 524 to 776 of the family's 1533-position model. The record is from RNAcentral.
UACGAGGGGGGCGAGCGUUGUUCGGAAUUAUUGGGCGUAAAGGGCGCGCAGGCGGCCACGCACGUCCGUUGUGAAAUCGCUCGGCUCAACUGGGCGGGGUCAGCGGAUACGGCGUGGCUGGAGCAAGCUAGGGGGCAAUGGAAUUCCCGGUGUAGUGGUGGAAUGCGUAGAUAUCGGGAGGAACACCUGUGGCGAAAGCGGCGCACUGGACCAUAACUGACGCUGAGGCGCGAAAGCUAGGGGAGCAAACAGG